AGUGGGAUCAGUUGCAGAAGCAAGAGUCGGAUGAGACUCUAGAUCGUGGCCAGAAUUUGUAUCAUCAUCUCAAAUAGAUUGACCCCUUCAAGUUGGUUGCUUGGUCUGAGUGGAAGAUAUUCCCAGAUAAUGCAUUUGUCUGAAUUUGCACAGUUGAAUGGUGGGGAGCACAGAGCCAUGGCGGGAAAAAGAAUGAAGAACAAUUAGAAGAUGUGAUAUCCAGGGAGCAGCAUGGGAAAUUCAGCCAGAGCUGAAGAUUGCCCAACUCCACAUCUUGUGGCUAAAGACCCAGCUGCCUGCUGCCAUUCUCACCAUUAUGCCUCGUGCUGAAAGGAAGCAACUGCUUUGUGAAGUCAGUGGAAAUACGCCAGCGCUCAACCAGCUGGAGACCUGGCCCACGCUUGGCUUCAGCUGAGCGGACUUCAAGCUCUCCUGUCUUGGCUUCAUAAACUGGCUCUGCAGAAGCUGACCUGGAUUGAUUUCCUCUUUACAAAGAGAAGCGGAUCGUGGUUGGAUUUCCUGACGUUUCUGCAGGUUGUGUGGGUGCAACUCCUAUUCGCUUCAGACUAUGGCCACGGAGGAAGUUCAGACCUGUGCUCCAGAGUCACCAUGAGCUUGGUCUGCUUUAGGCUGUUCUGCUCUGCGUGGCUGGCUGGUGAGCCUCGCUGCCCCAGCAGCCCUGGCUGCUCAUCCUUUCUGAGCCAGCAAGCGUAACUGCCAGUAGUCAGAUGGACGUGUUAAGGCUGGGAAGGACUCUUCAGCUUUCCGAAUUCACCCUUGAAUGUUUUGGAUGUCCAGAUCUGGAUUGUCAUUCUGAUUUGAGCCUGUCAUUGCCUGGAGAUGAGUCGAAUCCCAUUCGUAGGUGGCUGAAAAACACCUAAGGGACAGGUGGAACGGCAAGGAGAGAUUUUACAGCGGUUUCUAAGGCUCGCACUGUAAAGGAUCGACCACGCUGUCCCCCAGGGAGCUGAACGGUGCAGUCAUCACUCCAUCCCUAUGCAGCUUUUAGAAAACCUCUGCCAACUCCCUGCUGAGCCGGGAUGCUCUGCCUCGGGCUGUGACCCCGGGAGGGAGCACAAACACAGAGCCAUCUUCUGCUGAGAAGUCUUUGACUGAACAGUCAGUUCUACAUCUGGGCCCCCAUCUGUUACCGAACACCUCAAUAACCUUUCGCGACAUCACUUGAUACCUGUCUCGAAAACGUUUUGGUGAGAUGAAGCUGGAUGAAAGAUUGCCAUUUUCCAAGAAUUCACUUCGGAUUGGAAGAUGGAAGAGUUGAGUCAUCCCUCGAGAAGAAAUUUCCCACACCAGAUGAUGUUAUGCAAUUCAGCUCUCUUUUAUAGUUGCUGCUAGAGGAACUCCUGUGCCACUGGAAGGCCUGUAUGAAGAUGACACGGUCCCGUUUCUCUAGUCACAUCACUAAAGCACAGCUGAACUCCUUGCUUAGUGUUCACUGCAGAACAAAGGUACAUCACCAGCACCAAUGCAAAAUGACCCUGAAAGCAUUCAGAGCCAGAAGGUGACUCCCUGUCCCCAGACAGCUGGAAUAUGUUACUGCUUCAAACAUGAUGAUGUUUAGGUCAGUCUCAUGACUUCCACAAUGCUCUGGUCAUCAAGUCUUGUGCUGCGGCUUGGAACCGUACGGAACCGGUGCUGGAACCAGGAGGAACCAGAGGAAAGUUACUUUUCCUCUCUGCAACCAGUUGAAAUUUGUGUGUACCCAUCUGACGCAGUGCAGAGGCAAAAAAGCAACCAGCUGAUCAGCGAACAAAAGCUAAGGCCCACCAAAUGCCCCAAGUCUCGGAGGAAGCGGUGGGGGAUGUACACAGGGCAGAUGUUCAGCAUUCAGCACCAAGUGGCUCAGGGCUCAGACUUCCUCAGAGCUAACGCUACUACUCUAAAAAACAGAGUCCCAGCAGUUUUCGUUGGACAGCCUACUGCUCUGGAGUAUUUAUCUUAAUAAAUGUUUCUCUU
Molecule: long non-coding RNA, 1974 nt
Organism: Dromaius novaehollandiae (emu)
Lineage: Eukaryota; Metazoa; Chordata; Aves; Casuariiformes; Dromaiidae
Exons: 12
Source: RefSeq, a predicted model, not a curated record